This is a long non-coding RNA of Haliotis rubra (blacklip abalone), 122 nucleotides long. RefSeq lists it as uncharacterized. NCBI's taxonomy places the organism in Eukaryota, Metazoa, Mollusca, Gastropoda, Lepetellida, Haliotidae. The record is from RefSeq and is a predicted model, not a curated record. The transcript has 3 exons.
CCAAUGUCAUCAAAAUAUCUUAACAUGUAAUACACUUUCUUGAGUAAUCUACACUCGCUCAUUUUGAGCAAUUUUAGCCAAUAACGUAAAAGCCGUAAAAAAAUCUUUAUUGGUUAAAGUGU